UCGGGAAUUUUGGGCAAUGGGCGAAAGCCUGACCCAGCAACGCCGCGUGAAGGAUGAAGUAUUUCGGUAUGUAAACUUCGUAAGAAUAGGAAGAAUAAAUGACGGUACUAUUUGUAAGGUCCGGCUAACUACGUGCCAGCAGCCGCGGUAAUACGUAGGGACCAAGCGUUGUUCGGAUUUACUGGGCGUAAAGGGCGCGUAGGCGGUGUGUCAAGUCAGUUGUGAAAUCUCCGAGCUUAACUCGGAACGGUCAGAUGAUACUGCUUUGCUAGAGUGCAGAAGGGGCAAUCGGAAUUCUUGGUGUAGCGGUGAAAUGCGUAGAUAUCAAGAGGAACACCUGAGGUGAAGACGGGUUGCUGGGCUGACACUGACGCUGAGGCGCGAAAGCCAGGGGAGCAAACGGGAUUAGAUACCCAGGUAGUCCCUGAGCGGGCUGGCAAGGCGCAU
Molecule: ribosomal RNA, 447 nt
Filed under: uncultured bacterium
Lineage: Bacteria
Description: bacterial SSU rRNA
Rfam family: Bacterial small subunit ribosomal RNA
Source: RNAcentral